Molecule: non-coding RNA, 25 nt
Filed under: Rattus norvegicus (Norway rat)
Lineage: Eukaryota; Metazoa; Chordata; Mammalia; Rodentia; Muridae
Source: RNAcentral
GAACUUGGUUUAUGGUCCCUGCCUG